GAUGAACGCUAGCUACAGGCCUAACACAUGCAAGUCGAGGGGCAGCGGGAAGGAAGCUUGCUUUCUUCGCCGGCGACCGGCGCACGGGUGCGUAACGCGUAUCGAACCUACCCUUUACUCGGGAACAGCCUUGCGAAAGCAAGAUUAAUGCCCGAUGUUCCGCGUUUGCUGCAUGGCAAAUUCGGCAAAGAUUUAUUGGUAAAGGAUGGCGAUGCGUCCCAUUAGUUAGUUGGCGGGGUAACGGCCCACCAAGACGACGAUGGGUAGGGGUUCUGAGAGGAAGGUCCCCCACAUUGGAACUGAGACACGGUCCAAACUCCUACGGGAGGCAGCAGUGAGGAAUAUUGGUCAAUGGGCGGAAGCCUGAACCAGCCAAGUAGCGUGCAGGAAGACGGGCCCUAUGGGUUGUAAACCUCUUUUAUAAGGGAAUAAAAUACGGGACGCGUCCCAUAUUGCAGGUACCGCAUGAAUAAGGACCGGCUAAUUCCGUG
RNAcentral lists this ribosomal RNA (491 nucleotides) under uncultured bacterium. RNAcentral's name for it is "bacterial SSU rRNA". It matches the Rfam family "Bacterial small subunit ribosomal RNA", at positions 28 to 507 of the family's 1533-position model. The record is from RNAcentral.